UUAAAAAAAGAUUCAGCGGGUUGAAUUUGGUGCCCAAAAUUUCCAGAUCGAAAAUUCAAUAUAUAAGGACACUCCAGAUUUAAUUUCGUGAUUUUGGGAGAUCGGGAACACCUUGAACGAAGUUGUCAAGUUACUCCGCAGUUUUUCGGGUUUUCUGUUUUCAGCAAUUUUUAUUGAUUCUUAGCUGUAGGUUUUCAUUUGUUUGCUUUUUAUUCUCCUUUUACAAUAUCUAACACCUUCUUGUUUCUUGUGUUAGUAGGAUUUAAACGUGUGCACAAUCCUUCCUCGGUGCAACACGAAUCACUUGGUGUCUCGUCAGUUUUUGGCAUCCUAGUGCAAAUUAGGAUUCUUUGGUAGUUUG
Molecule: long non-coding RNA, 361 nt
Filed under: Gossypium barbadense (sea-island cotton)
Lineage: Eukaryota; Viridiplantae; Streptophyta; Magnoliopsida; Malvales; Malvaceae
Description: long non-coding RNA (GBAR_LNC022914)
Source: RNAcentral